Molecule: transfer RNA, 69 nt
Filed under: Chelodina colliei
Lineage: Eukaryota; Metazoa; Chordata; Testudines; Chelidae
Description: tRNA-Phe
Rfam family: tRNA
About the family: Transfer RNA (tRNA) molecules are approximately 80 nucleotides in length.
Source: RNAcentral
GUUACUGUAGCUUACCAUAAAGCAUGGCACUGAAGAUGCCAAGAUGUAUAUUUAACUAUUCCAGAAACA